Molecule: ribosomal RNA, 250 nt
Filed under: uncultured bacterium
Lineage: Bacteria
Description: partial 16S ribosomal RNA
Rfam family: Bacterial small subunit ribosomal RNA
Source: RNAcentral
UACGAAGGGGGCUAGCGUUGCUCGGAAUGACUGGGCGUAAAGGGCGCGUAGGCGGUUUGGUUAGUUAGGCGUGAAAUUCCUGGGCUCAACCUGGGGACUGCGCUUAAUACAGCCAGGCUAGAGUGUGGAAGAGGGUCGUGGAAUUCCCAGUGUAGAGGUGAAAUUCGUAGAUAUUGGGAAGAACACCGGUGGCGAAGGCGGCGACCUGGUCCAUUACUGACGCUGAGGCGCGAAAGCGUGGGGAGCAAAC